Cornus florida is the source of this 218-nucleotide small nucleolar RNA. RefSeq annotates it as small nucleolar RNA U3. The transcript has a single exon. NCBI's taxonomy places the organism in Eukaryota, Viridiplantae, Streptophyta, Magnoliopsida, Cornales, Cornaceae. The record is from RefSeq and is a predicted model, not a curated record.
ACGACCUUACUUGAACAGGAUCUGUUCUAUAGGUUUUUUACCUCUGUAUCAUUGAGUUUUAAGGGGGCAGGACCCCAAGCCUGGUGGAUAAACCAUGACCGUGUGACUAGAGCUUGAUUAGUGGUUCUGUGGUCCAUGUGACCACCUGGGCUGUGGAGGAUCGUUCUCAAGCUGGGUUGGUUCUAGGUGGGGAUGGUCACACAUUUGUUUGACAGACU